AUUGAACGCUGGCGGCAGGCCUAACACAUGCAAGUCGAACGAGUGGCGGACGGGUGAGUAAUGUCUGGGAAACUUCCUGAUGGAGGGGGAUAACUACUGGAAACGGUAGCUAAUACCGCAUAACAUCAGAUGUGCCCAGAUGGGAUUCGCUUGUUGGUGGGGUAACGGCUCACCAAGGCGACGAUCCCGAGCUGGUCUUAGAGGAUGACCAGCAAAAAUGGAACGGAGACAGGGUCCAGAGUCCUACGGGAGGCAGCGGUGGGGAAUAUUGCACAAUGGUCGCAAGCCUGAUGCAGCCAUGACGCGUGUAUGAAGAAGGCCUUCGGGUUGUAAAGUACUUUCAGCGGGGAGGCGUUACCCGCAGAAGAAGCACCGGCUAACUCCGUGCCAGCAGCCGCGGUAAUAC
This 406-nucleotide ribosomal RNA is filed under the name uncultured bacterium. RNAcentral's name for it is "partial 16S ribosomal RNA". It matches the Rfam family "Bacterial small subunit ribosomal RNA", at positions 30 to 526 of the family's 1533-position model. The record is from RNAcentral.